Molecule: ribosomal RNA, 331 nt
Filed under: uncultured bacterium
Lineage: Bacteria
Description: bacterial SSU rRNA
Rfam family: Bacterial small subunit ribosomal RNA
Source: RNAcentral
AUUGAACGCUGGCGGCAGGCCUAACACAUGCAAGUCGAGCGGUAGAGAGGUGCUUGCAUCUCUUGAGAGCGGCGGACGGGUGAGUAAUGCCUAGGAAUCUGCCUAGUGGUGGGGGAUAACGUUCGGAAACGGACGCUAAUACCGCAUACGUCCUACGGGAGAAAGCGGGGGAUCUUCGGACCUCGCGCCAUUAGAUGAGUCUAGGUCGGAUUAGCUAGUUGGUGAGGUAAUGGCUCACCAAGGCGACGAUCCGUAACUGGUCUGAGAGGAUGAUCAGUCACACUGGAACUGAGACACGGUCCAGACUCCUACGGAGGCAGCAGUGGGAAUA